UACUAGAGUAGCACUCGCAUAUCAAUAAGCGGAGGAAAAGAAACUAACAAGGAUUCCCCUAGUAACGGCGAGUGAAGCGGGAAGAGCUCAAAUUUGAAAUCUUAAAGGGUUUCCCUUUACGAAUUGUAGUUUAAAGAAGUGUUCUCUGUUGAGGUUUUGGUAAAAGUUCUUUGGAAUAGGACAUCAUAGAGGGUGAGAAUCCCGUAUUUGACCUUUACUUUCAACUUUGUGAUACACUUUCAAAGAGUCGGAUUGUUUUGGAAUGCAGUCCAAAAUGGGUGGUAAAUUUCAUCUAAAGCUAAAUAUUGGCGAGAGACCGAUAGCGAACAAGUACCGUGAGGGAAAGAUGAAAAGAACUUUGAAAGGAGAGUUAAACAGUACGUGAAAUUGUCAAAAGGGAAGCGUUUGACACCAGUGUUGUUUUUCUGAAAAUCAAUUAAAGAACUGUUUAUGCUAAGUUGUUUAGACUUUAUCAGCUAAUCUGCUUAGUUUCUGAGCUUUUCUUUAAUGCACUUUUCAGUUAACAAGUCAACAUCAAUUUCUUUUGCUGUAAAAAAGCUUGAGGAAGGUGGCUUGAGAUUCGUCUUAAGUGUUUAUAGCCUCUUGCCUAUGCAGUCGGAGAGAUUGAGGUCUGCAGCGUAGAUCCUUCGGGGCUAAAUGCAUUUGUGCUAAGUUAUAGCAUUUUAUAGACAACUUGUUGACUAUGAUUUGUCUUGUAGCUUACUCGCUUAUGUUAUUUUACCUACGCUUAGGAUGUUGAACUCUAUCACACACAG
Molecule: ribosomal RNA, 776 nt
Filed under: uncultured Neocallimastigales
Lineage: Eukaryota; Fungi; Neocallimastigomycota; Neocallimastigomycetes; Neocallimastigales
Description: partial large subunit ribosomal RNA
Rfam family: Eukaryotic large subunit ribosomal RNA
Source: RNAcentral